Molecule: ribosomal RNA, 468 nt
Filed under: uncultured bacterium
Lineage: Bacteria
Description: partial 16S ribosomal RNA
Rfam family: Bacterial small subunit ribosomal RNA
Source: RNAcentral
GACGAACGCUGGCGGCGUGCUUAACACAUGCAAGUCGAACGGAAAGGCCCUGCUUUUGUGGGGUGCUCGAGUGGCGAACGGGUGAGUAACACGUGAGUAACCUGCCCUUGACUUUGGGAUAACUUCAGGAAACUGGGGCUAAUACCGGAUAGGAGCUCCUGCUGCGUGGGGGGGGUUGGAAAGUUUCGGCGGUUGUGGAUGGACUCGCGGCUUAUCAGCUUGUUGGUGGGGUAGUGGCUUACCAAGGCUUUGACGGGUAGGCGGCAUGGGAGGGUGACCGGCCACAUGGGGACUGAGAUACGGCGCAGACUGCUACGGGAGGCAGCAGUGGGGAAUAUUGCACAAUGGGCGGAAGCCUGAUGCAGCAACGCCGCGUGCGGGAUGCCCGCCUUCGGGUUGUAAACCGCUUUCGCCGGUGACGAAGCGUGAGUGACGGUAAUGGGUAAAGAAGCACCGGCUAACUACGUG